Molecule: ribosomal RNA, 441 nt
Filed under: uncultured Bacillota bacterium
Lineage: Bacteria; Bacillati; Bacillota
Description: bacterial SSU rRNA
Rfam family: Bacterial small subunit ribosomal RNA
Source: RNAcentral
GGACCCGCACAAGCAGCGGAGCAUGUGGUUUAAUUCGAAGCAACGCGAAGAACCUUACCAGGGCUUGACAUCUCCCUGACCGGCGUGUAACGGCGCCUUCUCUUCGGAGCAGGGAUGACAGGUGGUGCAUGGUUGUCGUCAGCUCGUGUCGUGAGAUGUUGGGUUAAGUCCCGCAACGAGCGCAACCCUUGUUUUUAGUUGCCAUCAGGUAAAGCUGGGCACUCUAGAAAGACUGCCGGGGAUAACUCGGAGGAAGGUGGGGAUGACGUCAAAUCAUCAUGCCCCUUAUGUUCUGGGCUACACACGUGCUACAAUGGCCGGUACAAUGGGAAGCGAAAUGGCGACAUGGAGCAAAUCACCAAACCGGUCCCAGUUCGGAUUGCAGGCUGAAACCCGCCUGCAUGAAGUCGGAGUUGCUAGUAAUCGUGAAUCAGAAUGUCA